Molecule: long non-coding RNA, 770 nt
Organism: Anolis carolinensis (green anole)
Lineage: Eukaryota; Metazoa; Chordata; Lepidosauria; Squamata; Anolidae
Exons: 3
Source: RefSeq, a predicted model, not a curated record
ACAAGAGUAGGGAUUGGGAACCUACCUGCGCCGUCUAGGAAAACGAGAAGGACGAGGGCAAGCAAAAGCAACACGUUCGCCUUCAACUUCGCGGCUCUCCAAUUAAGGAGGCGGCUCUCUCCGCUUCUGGGCGCCAAGGUCUGGAAGUAUGCCCUGUCCUCUGCAGUGGGCAAGAAGAAAGGUGGUAUAAAACGUAAAUGGAUGAUACUGGUUACUAGAAAGAUGAUGGAGAAUGCCAAGGAACAAGAAGGAAGAGACCAAACUUAAGGGUCCAUGAAGUUGAAACCUAGACAUCUGAAACUUGAGCAUGGAACUAAGUGGACUCUAGAAGUGUGAAGCUCAUGGUUCUUUUGAUUUUGAAAUUGAUCAAUGUGUUUGUGUUAAUUAAAAUCUUCCAUAACUUAUAGUACCAUUUUAUCAUGGCAGCAAUAUUCCCCAAACUUCCUUAAAAAGUAAGAGUGAAGCUACAGUUAUGCCUAGAAUUAUCAAGAGGGCCUUUAUUAAGCUUUAGUGAUGGUUUCCUUUGCAGGACCCUGGUCAUAUCAGACUGCUAAAUGGCAAAGAGAGGGAGGAGAUCCUACUGCCUCCUUCUGGUUGGGUAGAGUGAGAUGAAGAAAAUACUGAAAAAAACCCAUAGUUCCAAGAAAGAAAAAGGGGAAGUGCACAGGGAACUAGAAGAAGCACUAAGAUUAGUAUGUGUUAUCCUGGAAACAUCGACUAUUAUGGAAUAAAUGGAUGCUGUUAACAUGUGAGAUGUGUUGUUUUGGAGA